This 62-nucleotide small RNA is filed under the name unclassified sequences. Its description in RNAcentral is "DUF2815 RNA". It matches the Rfam family "DUF2815 RNA". The record is from Rfam by way of RNAcentral.
GGGUUAGAUGAAUCGGCACCCAUUGAAGUUCGAUUCUAUCGUUAAAAGGAAAUAUCAUCAUG